This is a long non-coding RNA of Myiozetetes cayanensis, 699 nucleotides long. RefSeq lists it as uncharacterized. The transcript has 4 exons. Lineage: Eukaryota; Metazoa; Chordata; Aves; Passeriformes; Tyrannidae. The record is from RefSeq and is a predicted model, not a curated record.
GCGGGAUGACAAAUCUCCCGGACGGGUGUCUGCCCCGUCCUCCCAGACAGCGCUGCGUCCUCAUCUCGGCGGCGAGCCGGCCAGCGAGAGCGGUGUGAAGCACUUAGAGAAGAUGAUCAAAGGGCCAAAAGCCAGAGAAGCUUCACUGAAAUUCAACAUCUGAAAAAAUCAGGAGCCUUCAGUACCAGCAAUCUUCAUAUCUACCUGAAGAUCCUGCAGUACACGACUGGCAAGAAGAGAGCUGGUGAAGGGUCUAAAGCAAAAAUCGUACGAGGAGCAGCCGAGGGUGCUGGGGUUGUUUGGCCUGAAGAAAAGAAGGCUCAUGGAAGACCUUAUUGCUGUCUACAGCUACCUGAAAGGAGGUUGUAUCCAGGUUGAAUUCUUUGCUGUUUCCUGCAGCUUGGGAACACCUGUAGUGCACUGGAUUUGAAAAACUAAGUGACCAACCCACCACUGAAAGUCACUUCACCAGACAAAUAUCUCCCAGUGUGUACAUCCUUCCCUUCUUGUAAAGGUGAGACAACAAGCCAGUAGAAAGGAUUAUCAGCCCCAAAUUAUCCACAAAGUGGAUAAUUUUUUAUUUUUAUAAAUUAUUAAUUAAAAUUAUUUAUUCUUACAUUUACCACAAAGAAAGAAAAUUUUAGAUGGUUAUUUUCAACAUACAGCCUCUACCAAAAAAACUUACAUUAUUCAUUGUCU